UACAAUCGGAGAAUGAUUUCAACUCCCACCAAACACGAGAGUCAGAGCCAGUUUUUGUUGUGUUAGAAGCAGUGCAGUUGUUCGAGGAGGGAAGAUCUCAGUGAAAACAUCGAUUCUCCCCAGUGAUUCCCACAAAGGUGGAUCACAGACAUUUCGCAGGAAUUUACUUCAGGAGGUUGAAGACUAGAGCGGAAAGUUUUCUGCAACUUUCUGAUGUCGCUGCCUCCAAUUUCAGCUUGUGAUGACUCCUGCUAUUCGAUCAUAUUUUCAUCAAACAUUCUUCCAAUGAUCCUCUCCAUUGCGAUUGGUGCUCUGCUGAUGUGGAUAUGGUUAUACCAUCAAUCCAUUGGUAUGGAACAACAUCAAUCACAAAAUUAACUGCACUCAUUCACUUCCUCUUAGUUCAGGGUUUCUGAGACCAUAAUUCUUCACACAAAAUAUGAUAGGCUUCAAAAUAUCUCCUGCCAUUUGUGUGAUUUGAUGUCCCCUCAACAUGUAACAGCUUCCAUGUGGAAUGAUUGACAAUGGAAAUGAAGAUUUUUUUGGGAGGUGGGCAGGGUCCACAUGGCACAAAUCAGUUAUAGCAACGUGUCUGAGUACCUUUUAUAUUGAGAGCAAGCAUAACUGAA
This is a long non-coding RNA of Hemiscyllium ocellatum (epaulette shark), 629 nucleotides long. RefSeq lists it as uncharacterized. The transcript has 3 exons. Lineage: Eukaryota; Metazoa; Chordata; Chondrichthyes; Orectolobiformes; Hemiscylliidae. The record is from RefSeq and is a predicted model, not a curated record.